Molecule: ribosomal RNA, 258 nt
Filed under: uncultured prokaryote
Description: partial 16S ribosomal RNA
Rfam family: Bacterial small subunit ribosomal RNA
Source: RNAcentral
GUAAUACGGGGGGGGCAAGCGUUGUUCGGAAUUACUGGGCGUAAAGGGCUUGUAGGCGGCCAACUAAGUCACACGUGAAAUCCCUCGGCUCAACCGGGGAACUGCGUGUGAGACUGGAUGGCUAGAGUUUGGGAGAGGAAUGCGGAAUUCCAGGUGUAGCGGUGAAAUGCGUAGAUAUCUGGAGGAACACCGGUGGCGAAGGCGGCAUUCUGGACCAACACUGACGCUGAAGAGCGAAAGCCAGGGGAGCAAACGGGA